Molecule: ribosomal RNA, 254 nt
Filed under: uncultured bacterium
Lineage: Bacteria
Description: partial 16S ribosomal RNA
Rfam family: Bacterial small subunit ribosomal RNA
Source: RNAcentral
UACGGGGGGAGCAAGCGUUGUUCGGAUUUACUGGGCGUAAAGGGCGCGUAGGCGGCCACCGCAAGUCAAUUGUGAAAUCUCCGGGCUUAACUCGGAAAGGUCAACUGAUACUGCGGGGCUAGAGUGCGGAAGGGGCAACUGGAAUUCUCGGUGUAGCGGUGAAAUGCGUAGAUAUCAAGAGGAACACCUGAGGCGAAGGCGGGUUGCUAGGCUGAUACUGACGCUGAGGCGCGAAAGCUAGGGUAGCAAACGGG